Molecule: long non-coding RNA, 273 nt
Filed under: Lathyrus oleraceus (garden pea)
Lineage: Eukaryota; Viridiplantae; Streptophyta; Magnoliopsida; Fabales; Fabaceae
Description: Pisum sativum (pea) long non-coding RNA (PSAT_LNC027646)
Source: RNAcentral
UGUAUUCGAAGCGGAAGAAGAUGAUGCUUGAAGGGAUCCCUGACGGUAUUUCCCGACUUCUUGAGCAAGAAAAGAAGAUCAUUCAGCUGCAUCUCGAGAAUCAGCAGAACAGCCAACUGGGGCAUUAUCAAAAAAAAAAAGAAAAAAAGAAAGAGGGUGCAAAAUCAAAAGAAAUCAAAAGAAAGAAAAAGAAAGAAAAAACAAAAGAGAAAUAGCACCCUCAAAGUCCCAAGUUGACUGAUGCUGAAUCCGGCUGAAAGAAAGAAGAGAUCA